CUUGCAUGAUACCAGGUCUUGCUUCUGCUUGUCGUGUGAUCGGUAAAUCAGAAGUGGUGUCAAUGAACACAUCACAGCUGACAUGCUCUCCUCUGUUCUCCUUCAUGAUUUGACCCAAACGUGUCAACAGCUCUGGAAGUUCAAGGCCUGUCUGAUCUAAGUACCCAUACCUACACUCUUCGAUCAUGUCUUUGAGGGGUGGAUACUGCAGAUAUUUUCCUCUGACAUCUGAGCUCUGCUCUCUUGGUGAUGAUAUCAGUAUCAAUGAAUGAUCAAAUGAUCGAUCACUGAAACGUUCAAGGACUCUGCAGAGUCUCUGUUUGUGUUCCUCAGUGAAGUCCUCAGGCUGUAAAACCAGCAGGAACACAUGAGGUCCAGGAUCAGAGAGUCUCACACAGUCUGUCACAGUUUUUGUCAGUUUUUCUUCAGAGAUGUUGGGAUGGAUCAGAUCUGGAGUGUUGAUGAGAACUAUGUCUUUGUCCUUUAUUCGACCUUUUUCUUUCAAACAGUCACCACACUCCUCUUUGUCGAACACACUCUCUCCCAGUAUGAAGUUCCUCACUGAGCUCCUCCUAGACUCGCUGUUGCCCAGCAGAACAACCCUCAGCUCAGACACUGUGAGAAACAAGGAUAUAGAAAAGAUUGACUUGUACCUGCAUUGACUUAUAACUUUAUUCCUAGCUCAUUUCAAAUGUUUGAUUAUCUACUCAGAGGUUUUAAUCACAGAUUCUCAGGGAUAGAAGUUUCACUCACUGUCAGGUGGUAAAAAUUUAAAGCUUCUGCUUUUCCUCAGAGGGAAUGGACCACCUAAAAUCAGAAAGACAAAUAUGGAUAUGGGUGAUCAAAGUUUUUCAUUGUUAUCAUUACAGUUAUUAAAGCUCCAGUGAAGAGUUUUGAACCAAUUGUGAAACUCACUGAAAUGAAUACUAAAGCCUCUCAAUGACCUACAGAAGCCAACAAGACCAUCUGCAACAUGUUCACUAUCAUUUAUAAUGUACAUUUUAAUGUCUAAAACAGAGAAGAUUGUCAGCCAGCUGUAGAAAAAGCAUUUCUUUAAAACUUUGUAACAGUAAAUAUCAGUAAUGAAUGACAUAUUUGAUUACUGAGAAAAGUGGGGUUAGAUUCAUUUUGAAGAAAAAGCUCUUUGGCAUUUCCAGAAUAAAAUCAGUUCAGUAAUAAAAUGUAAAUCUUUGACCGCUGGGGUUGAAAAACUUGACACAGACCAAACAUGGCUCACAUAAGUUUUAACAUAAAUUGACCUCUUGUACAUUGAAUAUAACAUGAAUUGAUAUGUUUGAUUCAAACCUUAGUUUUAAGACACAUUUCUCUCAAACAGAUCUUUUUCUAUACCACUCAGUAACACCUCCUUUUGUUGUGCUCCUCUCUCAUGUGGAGCCUCUCAGGGGUCUUUCCCAGUUUCCCUUUUAUUCACUGUAAUCAUGCUCCCCUGGGGCAUGGUGUAAACUUUCACUGCUGUGCAGAUGAUACUCAGCACUAUAGCCCUAUGCCCUGUUAAAACCUGGCACCACAGCUGUGUCUCACAUUAUGCCCUGAACAUUUUCUGCAGUUGAAUGACUCCAAAUCUACAGUUAUUGUCAUUUGCAAGUUUCCCAACGUGUCCUUGUAAAGUCGAGAACGUCUUCACUCUGGACAGAUGAUAGAUGCAUAUAGCAUCGUUUCGCUCCUUUUUAUGCACUUUUGAAGGCUGUUUUCUUUUUUCCUUUUCUUUUCUUCCUCUACGCUUGUCUUGCUGCGAGAUGCGGUCGUCACCAUGUUUGUGUUUUUCUGAUACUAUGGCAACGAGACUCGGCUCCUAUUGGUCCACGUGACAAAAAUCGCUUCACCCCUUUGCAUAUUCGAUUGCGCGUGUGCAAGUAUCAUUACGCCGCAGAAAGGUAAUAGUUCGACACCGAAACACUGAUUACUAAAAAUCGACUGGAUGGCAGUAGAUAUAUUUUUUAGUACUUACUAUCAAUAGAGCUAUUUUAUGAAUCACAGUUUAUGUUGCCCCACUAAAGUGGAACGAAAUUCACUUUCUAGGCACUUGUUCCUCUGUCCCAAUACAGCCUAAGAGGUCUGAGUACAUCCUGGAAAUUUCAUCUUGUUUGGAGCAAAUUUGACCGCUUUCUGAUGCUUAAUGUACAGUCUUAAUUGGAUAUUGCCACGCCUUUCAUGGGCAGUUGAAAGCAUUUAGGGAAGUCAAACCACCACAGAUGUGAUCCUCAGGGCGGGCAGAACAACAUAGUAAAAUUUCAUCAUCCUAGGUUAAAAGGAAAAAAAUCUACCCCCCUGUGAAACUGGAGAAAAUCAGGGUCUGUGAAUUAUGCAUUCUUACAGCCUUUGUGAGCAGUAUUGAUGAAGAUCAAAUCCAGGUUCUAAUAUUUUGACUUGGGCUGCAUACACCAAAUUUAAGACACAUAUAAGGCCUAAGAGUAGUAUGUACUGUGAAUUUCAGCCAUUUCAGACUCAAGAGCAUCCAGUGUCCCAGGUUAGUUUUGUGUUUCUUAAAUCCAGAACUCACUGGCCUGAUUAAAUUACUGAUGGGGGCUCUUCAGUUUCCUCUAUGACAUGUAAAAUGAAAGGAGGGUUAGGGUUAGGUUUGGGUACCUGGAUUAUUCAAAGGCUGACAAAACUCACCUGCUGCUGCAGCCGCCAUGACCUCUCUCUGCUGGAAACACCACAGACCAAUUCAACUACAAAAGAGCAGAGUUUGAGGGUUUGAAAAAAAGGAGUACAAUCUAACAUCUGCUGCCAUCUAAACAAAGACUUUUUUCAGGAUAGGCCUUCAUAUUUCAGCAAGACCUUGACAAACCACAUUCUGACAACAGAGAUUAUAACAGCAUGGCUCUGUCGUAGAAGAGUCUUGCUGAGAAACUGGUCUGACUGCAGUCCUGACAAUCAUUUAUCUGGAACAUUUCAUAUGAUGAACCAAAAACAGCAAAGGAGACCCUGAACCUUUGAUUGGCUAAAAUCCUGACAAGCAAGAAUUGGACAUUAUUUUACUUUCACAAAAUGAGCAUUUAUUUCUAUUUCGAGCAAAACAGAUCAUUUUAAUAGUUCACAACACAGGACCAAGCAACUACUGUCAUCUACUGGUAAGAAGCUGCACCAUAAAAUAACUGUCUGUUCAGAACUGAGCUGCCAGAGUUUAAACCAGGAUCAGAAAACACGACCAUGUCACUUCUGUGCCAGCAGCUUUACACUUGCUACCUGUACCUUUUAGAACUGAAGUCUGGAUUUUACUGAUGACUUUUAAAGCCCUACGUUGCCUUUGAAACAUGUUAGUGUUGUACAAGUUGACCAAUACAUUGAGAUCCUCAGGUGUUUUUCCUGAGCUGUUUUAUGAUUACAAUGGUUAUGUUGGUGAAUACUGUCAUUCUUUCCACAAACUCUAUUUCGUUGCUUUGUCACCACUCAGAUUUUUGUCCUCUUCAUUCCUCUAGCUGUGUUUGUUUCUUUCAUUUGCUUUAUUUCCCUGUGUGCUUGCUGUAAAGCACUUUGGAUCAACUAUAGUUUGUCUAAAGCGCUCUAUGAUAAAAUGUGGUUUUAUAUACUUCUUUUGAGAAUUCUUUGAAAUGAAUAGUACAUCUUUUAAAUGUGGGUUAUUUCUUGAUCUUGGCCUUGUGUGAUUUUAGCUCUAUUUUUAUUCAAUAUUUUUUCCUGCCCUUGUAAAGCGAUAUGUAACCUGGUUUUUGAAAGUUAUUAUUGUUGCUGUUGUUGUGAAAAUAUUGCAUUGCCACCUGCUUAAAAUAAUGGUAUAAGUAUUUUUUUACUCAUGCCAUUAUUUUAAUAAGGUGAGAAAAUGUCUAUUCUCUUUGAUGCAGCUGGAUCAACAUCAUCUACAUCAUUUUUUAACCAAAAUGAACAUGUCAGACCAAAGCUGAUGACUUGUGCUGCUCCUGACAUCUAAAAUGGCGUCCGGAAUUUACGUCCUGUCUAAGGCUCGUCAUCACAGACUUCUCAGCAAGUCAACUCAUGUCUAAAAAUCUGAAUAAAUAACCAAUGAGUGGAAACAAGCAGGAGUUUAAUUCAGAACAGCCAAAUAAAAGAGGGGCUGUGAGGAUUUUCAAAGUUAAUGUGAAAUCGGAUCAUCCUGCAUUUUUCAUUGGGGUUUGUUCGUUAGAGUAGAGGAUAAUCAGACAUCACAUUUAGUUUGUAUAAUUCAGUUGGCAUAACAAUUAAUACAAAACAAACGUAAAGGUAAUCUACCAUGACUUGUAUCAUUUGGAUCUUUUUAAAUCAACUUUUAAUCGAGUUUACUCACCUCUGGAAUUUCUCGCUGUGACACAAUCAGCAGUGGAAGUAAAAGUAAAAAAUCAGAUAAGGGAUUCGGACAGGUUAGGUCACUAAAACAAAAAAAAAAAUGUAACACUUAUAACCUUUUUUUAUUGGCUCAGAACUCUGUCACUCACAGCAGUCCUGCUCAGAUAUUAGUUUGAUUGGCUGUCACACAAGGACGAUUCUUGAUUGGAAAAUAACCCACCCCAUCUCAGAGCCCAACCCCACCCACCCCACCCUACCCUCACACACACACACACACACACACACACACACACACACACACACACACACACACACACACACACACACACACACACACACACACUAUAAGUAAGUCCAAACUAGACAUUUUCUACACAAGCUGCAACAACAGAUAUAACAGCUAAAUGAGACUUUAUGAUCCAAUGCAUUUGCUGAAGGUUUAUGUUUUUUGUAUUUGCAAUCAUAAUUUUGCGUCAUGUAGAGCUGAUCAGACAAGCAAACAAUCAUAGUCAGAAAAUUGUCAUGUUUAAGAUGUUUAUAAUCAUGUAGUUUGAUGGUAAAGUCAAUGCCUGAGGCUUUUACUUUCACACAAUUAUUACGCAUAAUUUAUUCCCCCCAAAAUAUGGAUGUAUAAAAUCACAUGAGCAUCUUAUCUAGAAAUUGAGUUUUUAAUGUAUUUUCCCCCAAAAUUUUCUUUUUUCUUCCACACGAAUACAUGAAAUAAUAACUAAUCAAAAAUAACUUUAAAAAGGGCAUCUCUUCGGCAUUAAAUUUAGUCUUUUAUUCAAUAUCUGUAUUGCUGAGCCUCUACAGUAGGCUAUACCCUUUAAGUUACUUACAUUUGGACUCCUAAAAAAGUCUCUUAUGUCCCGUUUUCUUUUCUUUGACAUCCUUCAUACUUGAAUCCUUUAUACCACACACUCAUGCACGCACGCACACACACACACACACACGCACGCAAACACACACAAACAUAAAUGUAAAUGUAAAUGACACCACUGAUACUAAAAUCCAUUUAAGCUGACGUGAUCCAGGCACAAAAUGCCAAACAUGUUGAUAUACACUUCGUGGUUGCAGAUAACUUGCACUGUCUGCCUCCUAUCCAGUCCAAGCAAACACAAAGUUUUACACUUAAAAAUAAAUGAAUAAUUGAAGAAAGAAAAAAAGAAAAGACAAAGAGGCCUUUUUGAAAACUGAGGUAUGAAAAAAAGGUCACUCAGUCAUCAGGUGUCACCUCUGAGUGGUGGUUUCUGAAAAGAAAAAGUGUUUUGUGAAAUAUGUUCUUGAUCACACUUGCUGUUUGGCAAAUUAUUAUUAUUAUUUUUUAUUAAGUGUCCCCAGCUUCUUUCAGUGCUGUAGUGUUGCAGUCAUUGGCUUUUGAACAUAGUCGGAUGGAUGGUAUUGGGUUCAAAAUCCUGGUAGAGGGCCUUCUUUGCGGUGCUAGAAUUUUCAUGCUUUACUGCUGCAGGCAUGACACUCCUUAAAUCGUCACAAAGUUGUAGAGAGCAGAUAAAACUGAAGGAAUAAGCCCUGCAAAACAGCACUUUAUAGUAAUGAUUAGCACUAAUGCCUCAUACUGAGCAGGUUCUGGGUUUGAGCUCUGGCAGAGAUCUUCUCAUGGGUUCCUGGAAGUUUCUGGUUCCAAAUUCAUGUUAGAGCUUUCCUUGUUGCGCUUAAAUUGACUAGUCUUCUAACACUGGAGUAUAGAUCACACAUUUAGAGUCCCCUGACAGAUUGCAUUAUUGGUGUUGUUUUAAAACCUGGAGAACACAUAUGUGUUCCUUUGACUGCAGCACACUGAUCAGAUGUUCAGGUCUGUGGGCUUCACUUACUACAGAGAAGUAUCUCUGAUUUCAAGCAAAACAGAUCAUUUUAAUAGUCCACAACACAUGACCAAACAACUACUGCCAUCUACUGGUAAGAAGCUGCACCAUAUAACAACUGUGUUCAGAACUGAGCUGCCAGGGUUUAAACCAGGAUCAGAAAACAUGACCACAUCACUUCUGUGCCAGCAUCUUUACACUGGCUACCUGUACCUUUUAGAACUGAAUUCUGGAUUUUACUGAUGACUUUUAAAGCCCUAUGUUGCCUUUGAGACAUGUUAGUGUUGUACAAGUUGACACACAUUAAGAUCCUCAAUAUGAGUCUUCUGGUUAUUUCAGAUAUCAGACCAACAUCUAAAGAGGACAGAAAAAUCUAAGGCUCCAAAACUAUAAGAAGAUCUGCUGGAGGAGAUCAGAUCAGCUGGGUCAGUGAUCACUCUUAACUCCUCUCUGAAAACACACUCUUGUCUUAGAGCCUUUCCUGAACCCAGCUGAAUUUGAUUUUUUAUUUGAGUUUAUUUUAUUUUUUAUCCACACUAUAAAGCUCAGGAACCCUUUUACUUACUCUUUCAUUUGCUUUAUUUCCCUGUGUGCUUGCUGUAAAGCACCUUGGAUCAACUAUAGUUUGUCUAAAGCGCUCUAUGAUAAAAUGUGGUUUUAUAUACUUGUUUUGAGAAUUCUUUGAAACGAAUAGUACAUCUUUUUAAAUGUUUUAAACAUCUUUUAAACGUGGGUUAUUUCUUGAACUUGGCCUUGUGUGAUUUUAGCUCUAUUUUUAUUCAAUAUUUUUUUCUGCCCUUGUAAAGCACUUUGUAACCUGGUUUUUGAAAGUUUUUAUUGUUGCUGUUGUUGUGAAAAUAUUACAUUGCCACCUGCUUAAAAUAAUGGCAUAAGUAUUUUUUUUUAAACCUAGGCCAUUAUUUUAAUAGGGUGAAAAUAUGUCUAUUCUCUUUGAUGCAGCUGGAUCAAAAUCAUGUAAAUCGUUUUUUAACCAAAACGAACAUGUCAGACCACAGCUGAUGACUUUUGCCCCCUCUGACAUCUAAAAUGGCGUCCGGAAUUUACGUCCUGUCUGAUGCUCGUCAUCACAGAGUUCUCAGCAAGUCAACUCAUGUCUAAAAAUCUGAAUAAAUAACCAACUAGUGGAAACAAGCAGGAGUUUAGUUCAGAACAGCCCAGUAAACGAGGGGCUGUGAGGAUUUUCAAAGUUAAUGUGAAAUUGGAGCAUCCUGAAUUUUUCAUUGGGGUUUGGUAGUUAGAGUAGAGGAUAGUCAGACAUCACAUGUAGUUUGUAUAAUUCAAUUGGCAAAACAAUUAAUACAAAAUAAACGUAAAGGUAAUCUACAAUGACUUGUAUCAUUUGGAUAUUUUUAAAUCAACGUUUAAUCGAGUUUACUCACCUCUGGAAUUUCUUGCUGCGACACAAUCAGCAGUCAAAGUAAAAGUAAAAAAUCAGAUAAGGGAUUCGGACAGGUUAGGUCACUUUAAAAAAAAAAGUAACAAUUAUAACCUUUUUUUUAUUGGCUCAGAACUCUGUCACUCACAGCAGUCCUGCUCAGAUAUUAGUUUGAUUGGCUGUCACUCAAGGACAAUUCUUGAUCGGGAAAUAUCAUAGACUGUAUAUAGCAUGGACAGCCUGGUUCCGCCUUCCGCCUGUACGGAUUUAAAGCCAAAAAGCCCUCGGUAAUUCCGGGGUUUUCUACACUUCCUUGAAACCAGAGCUGUGCCGUAGCGUUAUACGCAGACGUUUUUGGCUGGGCGGGAGAAUCGGCUCGAUAACGCUCCGCUCAAAAAGUGCCUCCGCCCCCGGAUGUCCUUCCAGCCUUUCAUUCGUAACGCUAAUAGCUUCCCCGCUCGUCGCGACCAAGAAUAAGUAAGUUCUACUUCUCCUAAUAUAAUGUAAAAUGUGUCAGCGGUCAUGUCACAUGUCGGUUAACACAGUUUACUGCAGAACAACUCAUUUUUCCAAUGCAACAAAAGAGAAAAAUCAAGAAAACGCUAGCAAACCCGAUCGGUCUUGACGAUGAACGAAAAAGAGUGACGCACAAGCGGCAAGUGCAAAGUGUAGAGAAUGACGCAAUUUCCUGUUUUUAUGACUCCUAGUAACUUUAAAAUGGAGCUGCAGAGAGAGAAAAAGACCUGAACAUAAACCAGUCUAAUAAUAACUACAUGUCAACAUCGCAAUCAGGGGUGAGAAAAGUGUAUUUCUGAGUGUGCUGUUCUUGGGGUGGCUUCAUCCGGUGAGGAGGCAGACUAUAUUCUACAUACAGUACAUUCUACAUACAGUCUAUGGUCUUAACAUUUAGACUGAACAAAAGGACUGGUCAAAGCCAUGAUGCUGUUUACCCACACAUGCACUCUAACAGAAAAUAAAAGUGACAGGAAUGAUGAAAAACAUUAAACUCUAAAAGCAGCAGGAGUCUUUGUCACAGCAGGGGAGCACCACUGGAAGCUCUCUGGAGUUUGACAUUGAGUUCAUGUG
Molecule: long non-coding RNA, 8568 nt
Filed under: Xyrichtys novacula (pearly razorfish)
Lineage: Eukaryota; Metazoa; Chordata; Actinopteri; Labriformes; Labridae
Source: RNAcentral